GGGUCUUAGCUCAGCAUUAGGACAUCUGCUUUGCAUGCAGAGGGUCUGAGGUUCAAUCCCCAGCAUCUCCA
Molecule: non-coding RNA, 71 nt
Organism: Podarcis lilfordi (Lilford's wall lizard)
Lineage: Eukaryota; Metazoa; Chordata; Lepidosauria; Squamata; Lacertidae
Source: the annotation of a GenBank genome assembly